GCCCUAGUAACGGCGAGUGAAGCGGCAACAGCUCAAAUUUGAAAUCUGGCGUAAGCCCGAGUUGUAAUUUGUAGAGGAUGCUUCUGGGUAGCGGCCGGUCUAAGUUCCUUGGAACAGGACGUCAUAGAGGGUGAGAAUCCCGUAUGUGACUGGCUUGCACCCUCCACGUAGCUCCUUCGACGAGUCGAGUUGUUUGGGAAUGCAGCUCUAAAUGGGAGGUAAAUUUCUUCUAAAGCUAAAUACCGGCCAGAGACCGAUAGCGCACAAGUAGAGUGAUCGAAAGAUGAAAAGCACUUUGGAAAGAGAGUUAAAAAGCACGUGAAAUUGUUGAAAGGGAAGCGCCCGCAACCAGACUUUGCGGCGGUGUUCGGCUGGUCUUCUGACCGGUUUACUCGCCGCCGUGAGGCCAUCAUCGUCUGGGACCGCUGGAUAAGACCUGAGGAAUGUAGCUCCCUUCGGGGUGUGUUAUAGCCUCUGGUGAUGCAGCGCGUCUCGGGCGAGGUCCGCGCUUCGGCAAGGAUGAUGGCGUAAUGGUUGUCGGCGGCCCGUCUUGAAACACGGACCAAGGAGUCUAACAUCUAUGCGAGUGUUCGGGUGUCAAACCCCUACGCGUAAUGAAAGUGAACGGAGGUGGGAACUUUUUGUGCACCAUCGACCGAUCCUGAUGUCCUCGGAUGGAUUUGAGUAAGAGCAUAGCUGUUGGGACCCGAAAGAUGGUGAACUAUGCCUGAAUAGG
This 736-nucleotide ribosomal RNA is filed under the name Pseudocercospora cercidis-chinensis. Its description in RNAcentral is "eukaryotic LSU rRNA". It matches the Rfam family "Eukaryotic large subunit ribosomal RNA", at positions 77 to 845 of the family's 3401-position model. RNAcentral also lists the same sequence under 3 other names. The record is from RNAcentral. Lineage: Eukaryota; Fungi; Ascomycota; Dothideomycetes; Mycosphaerellales; Mycosphaerellaceae.